RNAcentral lists this ribosomal RNA (1541 nucleotides) under Klebsiella pneumoniae subsp. pneumoniae. RNAcentral's name for it is "16S ribosomal RNA". It matches the Rfam family "Bacterial small subunit ribosomal RNA". Lineage: Bacteria; Pseudomonadati; Pseudomonadota; Gammaproteobacteria; Enterobacterales; Enterobacteriaceae. The record is from RNAcentral.
ACUUAAAUUGAAGAGUUUGAUCAUGGCUCAGAUUGAACGCUGGCGGCAGGCCUAACACAUGCAAGUCGAGCGGUAGCACAGAGAGCUUGCUCUCGGGUGACGAGCGGCGGACGGGUGAGUAAUGUCUGGGAAACUGCCUGAUGGAGGGGGAUAACUACUGGAAACGGUAGCUAAUACCGCAUAAUGUCGCAAGACCAAAGUGGGGGACCUUCGGGCCUCAUGCCAUCAGAUGUGCCCAGAUGGGAUUAGCUAGUAGGUGGGGUAACGGCUCACCUAGGCGACGAUCCCUAGCUGGUCUGAGAGGAUGACCAGCCACACUGGAACUGAGACACGGUCCAGACUCCUACGGGAGGCAGCAGUGGGGAAUAUUGCACAAUGGGCGCAAGCCUGAUGCAGCCAUGCCGCGUGUGUGAAGAAGGCCUUCGGGUUGUAAAGCACUUUCAGCGGGGAGGAAGGCGGUGAGGUUAAUAACCUCAUCGAUUGACGUUACCCGCAGAAGAAGCACCGGCUAACUCCGUGCCAGCAGCCGCGGUAAUACGGAGGGUGCAAGCGUUAAUCGGAAUUACUGGGCGUAAAGCGCACGCAGGCGGUCUGUCAAGUCGGAUGUGAAAUCCCCGGGCUCAACCUGGGAACUGCAUUCGAAACUGGCAGGCUAGAGUCUUGUAGAGGGGGGUAGAAUUCCAGGUGUAGCGGUGAAAUGCGUAGAGAUCUGGAGGAAUACCGGUGGCGAAGGCGGCCCCCUGGACAAAGACUGACGCUCAGGUGCGAAAGCGUGGGGAGCAAACAGGAUUAGAUACCCUGGUAGUCCACGCCGUAAACGAUGUCGAUUUGGAGGUUGUGCCCUUGAGGCGUGGCUUCCGGAGCUAACGCGUUAAAUCGACCGCCUGGGGAGUACGGCCGCAAGGUUAAAACUCAAAUGAAUUGACGGGGGCCCGCACAAGCGGUGGAGCAUGUGGUUUAAUUCGAUGCAACGCGAAGAACCUUACCUGGUCUUGACAUCCACAGAACUUUGGUGCCUUCGGGAACUGUGAGACAGGUGCUGCAUGGCUGUCGUCAGCUCGUGUUGUGAAAUGUUGGGUUAAGUCCCGCAACGAGCGCAACCCUUAUCCUUUGUUGCCAGCGGUUAGGCCGGGAACUCAAAGGAGACUGCCAGUGAUAAACUGGAGGAAGGUGGGGAUGACGUCAAGUCAUCAUGGCCCUUACGACCAGGGCUACACACGUGCUACAAUGGCAUAUACAAAGAGAAGCGACCUCGCGAGAGCAAGCGGACCUCAUAAAGUAUGUCGUAGUCCGGAUUGGAGUCUGCAACUCGACUCCAUGAAGUCGGAAUCGCUAGUAAUCGUAGAUCAGAAUGCUACGGUGAAUACGUUCCCGGGCCUUGUACACACCGCCCGUCACACCAUGGGAGUGGGUUGCAAAAGAAGUAGGUAGCUUAACCUUCGGGAGGGCGCUUACCACUUUGUGAUUCAUGACUGGGGUGAAGUCGUAACAAGGUAACCGUAGGGGAACCUGCGGUUGGAUCACCUCCUUACCUUAAAGAA